Molecule: ribosomal RNA, 616 nt
Filed under: uncultured archaeon
Lineage: Archaea
Description: bacterial SSU rRNA
Rfam family: Archaeal small subunit ribosomal RNA
Source: RNAcentral
GGUUCGGCCCUCGGCUGACGGCUCAGUAACACGUGGAUAAUCUGCCCUAAGGUGGAGGAUAACCUCGGGAAACUGAGAAUAAUACUCCAUAGGCCUUGGAUGCUGGAAUGCACCAAGGCUGAAAGUUCCGACGCCUUAGGAUGAGUCUGCGGACUAUCAGGUUGUAGUCAGGGUAAAGACCUGACUAGCCUACGACGGAUACGGGUUGUGAGAGCAAUAACCCGGAGAUGAUAUCUGAGACACGAUAUCAGGCCCUACGGGGCGCAGCAGGCGCGAAAACUUCACAAUGCGCGAAAGCGCGAUGAGGGAAUCCCAAGUGCUUGCACGUAAGUGUAAGCUGUUUCUAUGUUUAGAAUGCAUAGAGAGUAAGGGCUGGGUAAGACGGGUGCCAGCCGCCGCGGUAAUACCUGCAGCUCAAGUGGUGAUCGCUAUUAUUGGGCCUAAAACGUCCGUAGCCGGUCUUAUAAAUGCCUGGGUAAAUCGUGCCGCUCAACGGUACCAAUUCCGGGUAGACUGUAAGACUUGGGACCGGGAGAGGCUAGAGGUACUCCUGGGGUAGAGGUGAAAUUCUGUAAUCCUGGGGGGACCACCAGUGGCGAAGGCGUCUAGCUAGAAC